GUCUCGUUGGUGACAGCGGAGGGAUCAUUACCGAGUUUCAACUCCCAAACCCCUGUGAACAUACCUUAAUGUUGCCUCGGCGGAUCAGCCCGCGCCCCGUAAAACGGGACGGCCCGCCAGAGGACCCAAACUCUAAUGUUUCUUAUUGUAACUUCUGAGUAAAACAAACAAAUAAAUCAAAACUUUCAACAACGGAUCUCUUGGUUCUGGCAUCGAUGAAGAACGCAGCAAAAUGCGAUAAGUAAUGUGAAUUGCAGAAUUCAGUGAAUCAUCGAAUCUUUGAACGCACAUUGCGCCCGCUGGUAUUCCGGCGGGCAUGCCUGUUCGAGCGUCAUUUCAACCCUCAAGCCCCCGGGUUUGGUGUUGGGGAUCGGCUCUGCCUUCUGGCGGUGCCGCCCCCGAAAUACAUUGGCGGUCUCGCUGCAGCCUCCAUUGCGUAGUAGCUAACACCUCGCAACUGGAACGCGGCGCGGCCAUGCCGUAAAACCCCAACUUCUGAAUGUUGACCUCGGAUCAGGUAGGAAUACCCGCUGAACUUAAGCAUAUCAUA
RNAcentral lists this ribosomal RNA (550 nucleotides) under Fusarium tricinctum. Its description in RNAcentral is "eukaryotic LSU rRNA". The stretch from base 181 to 334 matches the Rfam family "5.8S ribosomal RNA". The record is from RNAcentral. Lineage: Eukaryota; Fungi; Ascomycota; Sordariomycetes; Hypocreales; Nectriaceae.